Molecule: ribosomal RNA, 254 nt
Filed under: uncultured bacterium
Lineage: Bacteria
Description: partial 16S ribosomal RNA
Rfam family: Bacterial small subunit ribosomal RNA
Source: RNAcentral
UACGUAGGUGGCAAGCGUUGUCCGGAUUUACUGGGCGUAAAGAGCUCGUAGGCGGUUCAGUAAGUCGGGUGUGAAACCUCCAGGCUCAACCUGGAGACGCCACCCGAUACUGCUGUGACUAGAGUCCAGUAGGGGAGCGUGGAAUUCCUGGUGUAGCGGUGAAAUGCGCAGAUAUCAGGAGGAACACCAGCGGCGAAGGCGGCGCUCUGGGCUGGAACUGACGCUGAGGAGCGAAAGCGUGGGGAGCGAACAGG